AGUUCGAUCAUGGCUCAGAUUGAACGCUGGCGGGAUGCUACAUGCAAGUCGAACGGCGGCACGAACUCCGGUCUGGUGGCGAGUGGCGAACGGGUGAGUAAUGUAUCGGAACGUGCCUAGUAGCGGGGGAUAACUACGCGAAAGCGUAGCUAAUACCGCAUACGCGCUCAGGGAAAACCGCUGAGGGACCUUCGGGCCUCGCACUAUUAAACGGCCGAUAUCGGAUUGGCUAGUUGGUGGGGUAACGGCUCACCAAGGCGACGAUCCGUAGCUGGUUUGAGAGGACGACCAGCCACACUGGGACUGAGACACGGCCCAGACUCCUACGGGAGGCAGCGGUGGGAAUUUGGACAAUGGGGGAAACCCUGAUCCAGCCAUCCCGCGUGUGCGAUGAAGGCCUUCGGGUUGUAAAGCACUUUUUGGCAGGAAAGAAACGGCACGGGAUAAUACCCCGUGCAACUGACAGUACCUGCAGAAUAAGCACGGCUAACUACGUGCCAGCAGCCGCGGUAAUACGUAGGGUGCAAGCGUUAAUCGGAAUUACUGGGCGUAAAGCGUGCGCAGGCGGUUCGGAAAGAAGAUGUGAAAUCCCAGAGCUUAGCUUUGGAACUGCAUUUUUAACUACCGAGCUAGAGUGUGUCGAGGGAGGUGGAAUUCCGCGUGUAGCAGUGAAAUGCGUAGAUAUGCGGAGGAACACCGAUGGCGAAGGCAGCCUCCUGGGAUAACACUGACGCUCAUGCACGAAAGCGUAGGGGAGCAAACAGGAUUAGAUACCCUGGUAGUCCACGCCCUAAACGAUGUCAACUAGCUGUUGGGGCCUUCGGACCUUGGUAGCGCAGCUAACGCGUGAAGUUGACCGCCUGGGAGUACGGUCGCAAGAUUAAAACUCAAAGGAAUGACAGGGACCCGCACAAGCGGUGGAUGAUGUGGAUUAAUUCGGUGCAACGCGAAAAACCUUACUAUGACAUGUCUGGAAUCGAAGAGAUUUGGGAGUGCUCGCAAGAGAACCGGAACACAGGUGCUGCAUGGCUGUCGUCAGCUCGUGUCGUGAGAUGUUGGGUUAAGUCCACCAACGAGCGCAACCCUUGUCAUUAGUUGCUACGAAAGGGCACUCUAAUGAGACUGCCGGUGACAAACCGGAGGAAGGUGGGGAUGACGUCAAGUCCUCACCAAAGCCCUUAUGGGUAGGGCUUCACACGUCAUACAAUGGUCGGGACAGAGGGUCGCCAACCCGCGAGGGGAACCAAUCCCAGAAACCCGAUCGUAGUCCGGAUCGCAGUCUGCAACUCGACUGCGUGAAGUCGGAAUCGCUGAAAUGACGCGGAUCAGCAUGUCGCGGUGAAUACGUUCCCGGGUCUUGUACACACCGCCCGUCACACCAUGGGAGUGGGUUUUACCAGAAGUAGUUAGCCUAACCGUAAGAGGGCGAUUACCACAUUAGGAUUCUGACUGGGGUGAAGUCGUAACAAGGUAA
RNAcentral lists this ribosomal RNA (1474 nucleotides) under uncultured Bordetella sp. RNAcentral describes it as "partial 16S-23S ribosomal RNA intergenic spacer". It matches the Rfam family "Bacterial small subunit ribosomal RNA". Lineage: Bacteria; Pseudomonadati; Pseudomonadota; Betaproteobacteria; Burkholderiales; Alcaligenaceae. The record is from RNAcentral.